Molecule: long non-coding RNA, 411 nt
Filed under: Rhinopithecus bieti (black snub-nosed monkey)
Lineage: Eukaryota; Metazoa; Chordata; Mammalia; Primates; Cercopithecidae
Description: lncRNA (ENSRBIG00000046043.1)
Source: RNAcentral
GCUAUCUCAAACAUUCAUUCAUCCAGAGAUGAUACUUGAGAGAUCUAACAAUGGCAUGGUACAGUGGAACCCUAAGCUCUAUCACCAUUCUGUCUCUAGUAUUCCUUAAAGCAAGGAAUGGGAUGACAAGCAAGUUGUGAAACCUCAACUAUCUACAGUUUAACACCAAGGAAAGAACACUGUUUAAAGAGAUGGGGAAGAUUAUCAUCAGUGUCUUUCAGAAGUCAUCAGAGGAAGUAAAGGAGAAAAAAGAGGAGAAAGCAGAAAGGGAGGCCCAAUAUCCCUGAGUUGGAAGCUCUUUGUGGACUAACAUCUUAAUUUUCUAAUGUAGAAUUUCAAACUGAUUGGAUUGGUAAGGGUUAUUUACUAAGCUGAUUGAUUUUUAAAUAGAUACUAAUAUUUUGAUAAUUU